Non-coding RNA from Prunus avium (sweet cherry), 1123 nucleotides. Lineage: Eukaryota; Viridiplantae; Streptophyta; Magnoliopsida; Rosales; Rosaceae. The record is from RefSeq and is a predicted model, not a curated record.
CUCAUCUUGGUAAACCCAUUUGGCGAAUUGCUCCCAACCCGCUUCGUUUCCGGUUCGAAUUCUGAAACCACAACACUGCAAUUCAGAGAGAGAGAGAGAGAGAGAGAGAGAGAGUAAAAAUGGCUGGAUUGCUAGCAGGUCAGCAGACGUAGACUUGGAUCAGAAAGCAGCUUCUCUCAGCCGUUCGAUCCAGGAUCUACGGCUCAGGUUCCCUCGCUUCUACCACCCGCGAACAGGUUCGGUUUUCAGUUGUUGAAUUUCUAAGGCUUUUAUCUGGGUCGUUGCUUUUGGCUGUGAUUCUUGAAUUUCACGUCUUCUUCCUUUUCAAAUGUGUGGGUGGGUGUGUGUGCUUUUGAAAUUCUUUAUGUUAUGUAUGUUUUUAUAAAGACAAAACUAUGCAUUGCUAACUAGUUUCCUUAAAAUUCCAAUUUUCUUUUAUACUUUCCUUGUUCUGAUUAUGUGACAACGAAUGGCUGAAGUGAAUUGCUUUCACACGAACUCCAUGUUUUUCUUCAUAUUUUUGGCUGAUUUAACAGUGCUGGUGGACAUGAGGGAGAGAUUGAUGGAAUGUCAGUUGUUUGUCUUAGCUUCCACGCAUCUUAUUAUUGGCAUCAAGUCAACAUGCUGGACCCAGAGAAAUGAUUUUGCCAAUCAUGCAGAUAAACAACUGUCUGCCAGUCGUUGCUAAUCCCUUUCCCAAACAUUAGUUCUCAUGUAGAGUAAGCUGUUUUGGUGCCCUCUUUGAUUGUCUGUGUAACAGUUAGAGUUACAACAAGGUUGUAUAUGGCGCCAGGCAAGAGGAUCCGCUGCGGAAGCGUCAGGCAGAGGAGGUUCCUACCGGCAGAGAAUGUACAAAAUAUUCUACUCCAUGCUUUUAGUAUCUUAGGAUUUCAGCCCUUUGGAGUUCGCAGGUUGGCAGAGUUGAGCAACACCAACCUGAAUCAGAGUUGAAUGUGGAAGAUGAUAGUAUGACUUGGGAAGUAGGAUUUCAAGAUGGAAAAGUUUGCAUCCAUUGUGCUGUCAAUACUCAAUACUAGUCCCGGAACAACUGAGGUUAUUGUUUAUGCGGCACUGUAUUUAAAACAUAGAAGAAAGAAAGAAUUAUUAGAGGAUAAUCAGGAGA